Molecule: unclassified non-coding RNA, 2450 nt
Filed under: Leishmania donovani
Lineage: Eukaryota; Euglenozoa; Kinetoplastea; Trypanosomatida; Trypanosomatidae
Description: gene:LdHU3.30.4470(CDS-product:hypothetical_prote in_conserved)
Source: RNAcentral
AACCUCCUCACGUACAUAGGCACACAUCAAUACGCAUCUGUAACGUGCACGCACAUCCGCGCACAUAACGCAGAUACUCACGCUGUAUCGAUUAGAAAAGGCACGAAAGGAGGAGGAAAAAAAAACAAGGUCACCCCACGUGCCGUAUCGAACUUCACUCUCGCGUGAGCGACUUCUCAUCCCCCGUAGGGCGCGCGCGUGCAGGACUGUGCAGUGACUUUUCCCGGAUCAGAGGAGAAGCUGCAUUACAGCGUCACAAAAAAGAACAGAGGACGUGCAGAUUUAUCUUUUGCUCGCUUCACUAUCGCACACUGACAGCCGUGGCGCCGCAAACACACUGACGCCUUACGCCACGCCGUGAUGGAGACGUUGAAGGGAUUUGCUCGCCGCACCACGCAGAGCCUGCGUGAGAUGGUAUCGCGGACGGAGGUGUCACCGGAGGAGAUGCGGCUUACGGAGGUCAUGGCGAAGGUGCGCAUAAUGGAGACGAAGGGAGAGAUGAUUUGCGAAAAGGUCAUCCAGGCUGCUCGGCUCAUGGGCGAGCUUGGCACAACGUUGCGGGAGAUCGGAGAGGAGUACAAGGGUGUACCAGAUUUACCGAAGGAGAGUCGUGAACUUGCCGACGACGUCUUCGAGGUUGGUGUGAAGCUCGUGGAGACGUCGCAGGAGCACCAGAAAGGUCUAAAGGAUAACGGGUUCGAGUUGCUACGCAGCUUCGCCAAGCAGUGCGCGCAGCUGCGCGAGGUCGAAGAUGCGCGGCGGCACCAUCAGCUCGAGUACGACUUCUUCAAAUCCAAAGUGCAGUACCUCCGCUCAUCACCGCAAAGGGACUUCACUCGUCUUCCACGCAACGAGCAGAUCUUGGAGAAUUGGCGCGUGGAGCUGUGGCGGGCGACGGAGCGCAGUAAGGCGUUGUGCUCGGAGCUCUUCGUGUCUGGUCGCCAGGCCAUCGACCGAAGCGUGCUCACGACAAUUCAGGUGCUCCACAGCUUCGUGGAAAUCGCGUCGACGGGCUUCUCGCAAACCUUUCAGGGAGUACGCCUCCCCACCUAUCCCAAAACGCCGGUACUGCCUCCGACGGCGCUGCCGCCGGCGCCGGCGCCGGCGCCGCCGACCCCAUACGCGUACAGUAGCCAGACGGCUGUUGCGGCGCCCACUGGUGCCAUUAUACCGGCCUCACCAGGUACCCAAGCCCCUAUGCCCGGGACGGCCUACGCGUCGACGUCGCUACCGUCGCCGGCAAAUCCCCCCGGCCCAGUUGCAGCACCACAACCAGCGCCACUUGCUCCCGCCAUAGGCACUCCGUACGGAGGCGCCCCUUCGUAUGCCGUCACGCCAGGGGCUGCCGGUAGCGGGCCUGCGGGUUACCAACCACCGCCCCUCGACAUACCCACUUCAACCGACAAUGGCACCACAACGUAUCAGCCACCGCCCCUGCAGUGACCUGGGGUGCACGCCUUUGCGGUGUAGUCGGUGGCCGUUAUGGGCAUCUGUGAGGGUGAGUUGGAGGGGCUGUGUAGAGGGCGUAGUGAGAGGGAGGCAGCGAGGGAAGUGAUACGCAAGCAUGGCACUGCUGCCCAUCAGCCUGUCGACGUUGCUUUUCUGCUCCGCUGUGUUUUUUACGGGAUGCCGCAUGUCUGCUAUCGGUGAAGAUCGGUGUCGUCGAUCGGAGAUCGUCUCGUCGCUGCUUUUUUUUCCUGUGUUUUCUUUUGUUUUGUGCUGUUGUUGCCUUGUUUGCCUCCCCUCACGUGUGCGUGUGUGUGCCUGUGCGCCUGUCCUCUCAGUACUCUGUCUCUCUGUACACGGCUCGUGGCGUUUUUUUUGCCUAAUCCCUCCCUUUCUCUUUUCCGCCCUUGUCCCCUCUGUGCAGGUCUCAGUGGCGUGCGCGGGCGUGUUCAUGUGUGCAUAUUGGACACAGUAUACACAUGUGUGGUUAGAUUGUUUCGCGUGUGCCCAACCAACAUUGCAGGAGCAGUAGCCACUCUCAUCCGUCGAUGUCUGCAGAGCGUGCAAGAGGGGACGAUUCGAGCACAAGGCUAAGGUGACGUUUGUUUGCUUCUCGGCUGCUCUCUCUUCUUUUUGAGGGGAUUUUCGCUCAAGUAGCCGCACACGCUUCACCGCCCCCUUCCGCCUCCAAGCACCGCUGGUGUGCUUGCGCACACAUGCGCACCCUUCGCAUACACCCACACAAGCACGCGCUACUUCUUUCCUACGCCAAACGAAACGGAAUGACAAGGGCAUCCUGCGAAACUCGAUGCCGAUACGACAUGCGUGUGCGUGAGGUCACUGCCCUGGCGUGCGAAUGUGUCUGGGGUGGCGGUCGAAUGGUAACAUGGUGCGGUGACCGGCAACAUGGCUCCCUUCCCCUUCGCUCCGGUUGUUCUCUUUCUCUCGUCUCGUUCUCGGUACACAUUCUCAGCUUUUUACCAACGGUGUGCGAGAGGAAAACG